Molecule: ribosomal RNA, 497 nt
Filed under: uncultured bacterium
Lineage: Bacteria
Description: partial 16S ribosomal RNA
Rfam family: Bacterial small subunit ribosomal RNA
Source: RNAcentral
GACGAACGCUGGCGGCGUGCCUAAUACAUGCAAGUAGAACGCUGAAGAGAGGAGCUUGCUCUUCUUGGAUGAGUUGCGAACGGGUGAGUAACGCGUAGGUAACCUGCCUUGUAGCGGGGGAUAACUAUUGGAAACGAUAGCUAAUACCGCAUAACAAUGGAUGACACAUGUCAUUUAUUUGAAAGGGGCAAUUGCUCCACUACAAGAUGGACCUGCGUUGUAUUAGCUAGUAGGUGAGGUAAUGGCUCACCUAGGCGACGAUACAUAGCCGACCUGAGAGGGUGAUCGGCCACCCUGGGACUGGGACACGGCCCAGACCCCUACGGGAGGCAGCAGUAGGGAAUCUUCGGCAAUGGGGGCAACCCUGACCGAGCAACGCCGCGUGAGUGAAGAAGGUUUUCGGAUCGUAAAGUUCUGUUGUAAGUCAAGAACGGGUGUGAGAGUGGAAAGUUCACACUGUGACGGUAGCUUACCAGAAAGGGACGGCUAACUACGUG